AUCCAUUUAUCGGAGAGUUUGAUCCUGGCUCAGGACGAACGCUGGCGGCGUGCCUAAUACAUGC
Molecule: ribosomal RNA, 64 nt
Filed under: Bacillus subtilis
Lineage: Bacteria; Bacillati; Bacillota; Bacilli; Caryophanales; Bacillaceae
Also listed under: 1 other name
Description: partial 16S ribosomal RNA
Source: RNAcentral